CCCACAUGGAAGACCCACAUGGAAAGUGGGGCAGGGCACAUGUGGAGAUGCCUCUUGUCUUUAUACUGCUGAUCUGCCUCCUAAAGGUGAAGCCAUGCCUGCCACUGUAAGGCAAUCCUCUGCUAAUCUGGGGAAAUCCAUUUUGUCUCAGUCAGUUGAUAUAGGCAAUGAUCAGACUUCACUCAGACUGAGCUUUCUUCCUCCAGAGGUAACUUGGAGUAUAGCAUUUGAAAGACAAUUUCUGCUCUCUCCACUGCAGAAGUUAACUCUGGUCACUCUCAGUAUUUGACUGAGAAGCCCACAUUUGUCAGUGCAUCCCAAAUCUGUUGAAAUGACUGAAGUUUAUGAAGAUGACUCUGACACUUGCUUGUGCUAAAUGACAGUUCUUACGUUCUAGUAAUCCUACUCCACGGGAACUAUCCCGUCGCAUCUCCUAAACUGCGAUGAGGUCAAAGCCCUGUGACUGCACACAGAUCACCAGUUCCUCCUCUUUGUCCUCCAUAUGUGUGUCCUGUGUACAAGCACCUUACAGAACUAUUUGAUUGUGCCAAUAUCCCCAUGGGGAUAAAAAGGGAUACCCCAUAAUCCUGUUUUGUGGCUGCAUCUUUGGCUGCUUGUCCUGACUUGAGGUAUUCUCUCUUUAACCUCCUUUUCCUAGCUAGUGUGGUUGCUAUAGUUCUCCCCUUCCCACAGCCAGUCUGUAUUGAACCUAUGUCCCUGUCCUCCUUCCAACUUAGUUUAAAGCUCUCUCAGUGAACCCUGCUAAGAGACAGGGCUACUUGUUGCCAGCAGGCCUGGUGCAAUAGAAACUGGCUUAGCACCCUGAUCUUUACUUGCUUAGCUCUUCCAGCUUAUAGUAUUUUACAUGAGCUAGGAAAAACCCACUUAAUUUUUGUAUUCUUUUCCGAAGAGGAGUAGGAAGAAAUCCUGUUUUAAAACCAAUUCAGAAACUGAUUAGGAGAAACAUCUACAAGAGCACAGGACAGUGGUCUUGUAAAGUCAACUCUAUAUGUUCUUCUCCUAAAAUAUAAAAAAAUAUAUAUUUAUUUUAGCUGGCUUUUUCACAGAAAGCCUCUACCAAGGGUUUUAAUACAUUCAUUUUCUGUAAUGUUUUGUGUAUAUAUACAUGUGUUCUGCCUCUGCAUUUCUCAGCUUUCUGCCUUGAAGUCUCCCUUUCAAACUGAGCUAAAAUAACAUCUAUUAAAAAUUAGCUUCAAGGAUGGAAAUUCAUCUUUUUCUCUCUUUCAGCCUUGGCCUUUUAUGAACCUUAGUGCCUAAGUUUUUCUUGCAUUAGUGCUGCUCAGUCUUUAUGGCCUAAAUGUAUCUAGGGCAUUCUGCAGCUACUCCAGCACACUCUGUGGCUAUUUUUGGCAGUGUAGCUUUUGCCUGGCAGUGCUACAGAGGGAUGGCAUAUGCUCACUGCUGUGCAUGUGACUUGAUUUAAAGGUGGAUGAUGUGGUUUUGUUUAUGUAUUUGUAUAAGUCAGAAUUUUAAAAAACACUACUCUAUAUAAUGUAGAAACCUGUACAAAUUUAAUAUGCUUGACUGCAUGCGUUUUUAUUCUCCUUUUCUAUGUAAUUGUAUGCUCAGUGAACUGUGCAUUAGAAAGUGAAUUAGCAAGUUAAUUUACCCUACAUGCCAGUGAUAGAAUAGCUUUUACCUCCUCAGGCCAUGUGAUCUGAGCUGUGUGUGAAUGUGUCACAAUACACAAACACUCCUUUUAGAACCACUGCUGGGAGGGGUGUUGUUAGUUUAACCUGUUCUCUCCCUCAGUUUUUAAUUCUGAUUUGCAGUCACUAUCAGUGGGGUGUUUUUGGACAUGCUCUGAGUGAACUGGGUUCUGGAUUUGUUUGUGUGCUUUCCAUACUUCAUAUGCUGUACCUCAAGGAGACCUCUUGCAGAGCAAGUUACCUGCUCAUCAUCUGAACAAAAGUAAUAAAAUUAAUGAUAGUUAUUCUUCAGUAUUCCUAAUCUAAGGCAAUUAAUAUUUGCACUGUAUUUUGAGUUUGCAACUCAAACUACAUAAUGUUUAACGAUCUACUUCCCUACUAUUCCAUAAACCCGUCAGGCUCAGUUUCAUGGGAGCAGCUCUAGAGCCUUAGUUACAAUUCAACAACAGGGUAGCCAGUCCCCCAGCAAAAUUUGGUUUCAGACUUUUUCAGUUGUAGGACUGAAGAAGAAUAUUUACAACAGAACAAAUAAUUUGAAUAAAUGAACGAAAAAGCAGAGAAUAGGAAUGUUUUCAUCUAAAGAUGUAGACCCAAGUGGUGAGAAGUUAAGUGCUGGUUAGUGCUCCUGGGACUUUCAUUGCUGGGGGUAUAUGGGAGGGCUCUGACAGGACCACAUGCUUAAUCCCACUCUCCCAGGCUCCCUGGUUAUACCACAGCCACAUGGCUGCUUCUCACAUUGCAGGACAGGACUUUGCCUGCUGUGUGCCUUUUUAAGCUCCUGUGCAUGGGCCAGCACACAGUGGGUGGGAGAAGCCCUUGUGCUACAUGAGUACUUAGGAGUUAUUAUGGCUUAGCAAAUGGUUAGUGUAGAGCAUGUUUAUUAGCUCCGAAAUGGGAAGUAUAGGUACCGAAAUGGGAAGUAUAACAAUGCCAUGAUUUUUUUUGUGAGAUAAAUCUUAUUUUAAUUGUUUGGUAACAAAAUAUAUAAUGAGGGACUUGCAGAGGAGAAUUAAUUUUGGUCAUACUACAUAGAUGUGUGUUAUUUCUUAGUGGGAAGUUAAACAUGGCAUAGAGUAGGUGGCCCUAGAGCACAGGUAUUUCUUAAAAUCUGGAUUAAAUAUGCUAUUAGCAUUUCUUUUUGAGGAUGAGGGAAAUUGUAUAGCAGUUGCUAUUAUUUUGCUAGUAACUAUUUUGCCAUAUUGAGCAAAGUGUUGACAUUAAUGGUGGCAUUAUGAUUGUUGAAAAGGCUGGUUUGUUAUCAAGGUAAUAGAAGCACAUCAAGAAUUACCUAAUGUCCAAGAAAUGUUAAAAUGCCAAUAAAUAUAUUUAAUACUAAAAUCUUGGAAAUGCCUAAGUAAACAAUCUGCUUAUGUAUGCAUGCAAAAAUUCUUCUUUAAAAUCAAGGCCCCAUCUCAAUUCAGUUUUUGAUCUUGAAAUGCUUGUUGAAUUUUUUAGUAUUGCUGUAACUGAUCUCUGCAAUAAGAUGUUUGAAAAGGGAGGUGAGGAUGUGAUUUGAACAAUUGAAGGGCUGUUCAAGGUAAACAUAAAGGUUCCACUGUUUGAUUUCUCCAUUUUAUUUGGGAGUGGGGUGGAGCUGGCUGACCAAGGCCUCCUUCCCAGGCAGUGUGCUUUGCAAUAGGAAGUGGGGCAGUGUGGUAGACAGCUGCCAGCACCAAUAACUGGUGGCUUGAGCGGCUUAACAGAGGCUAAGCACAAAUCUAUUGACGCAGAGCACAGGGAAGUGCUCCGCAGACUUCUCCCCCCUCCCUGUCCUUGAAUAUAAUCUCAUGAUGCUGUGGAUGUGACAAACUCCAUUUUGAUCAGAUGUUGGGCCGGACAUGGUUAGAGCGGGUCAGUUUUGGCCUCGAAAGGAUACCCUGAUGGCAUGCAUUCUCCACACUUUCUGAAACUGCACUUUUUUCUUCUGUGACACCACCUCCUUUCUGCUUCAGGUUUGCAAAAUUGCUAGCCUGAAUUUUUUAAAUGUAGGCUGGGAGAUUGAAGCCAUGCGUACAGGGUGAUAUGGAUCAUGCUAUGGAUGCACAGUAGACCUCUGCAGUGCAAAUGAAUGUUCUGUACUGAAUAUAAUGGAUGAAAUAGGUAGUAAAAGAGUUGAAAUACACAUAUUGGAACAUCAUGGAAAAAAAACAUCUUGGAAAAAGACAUUUAUCCACCUGCCUGAAAUGCAUAUGCUGUUUGUUCUCUGAAAGUGUGCAGUCAAUGUAUGAAGCAGAAUGAGACUUUCACAUUUGGUAACAAAUGUUCUUCGGAAGUCUUCUCUUCCUGGUUUUGAAAACUUUAACACUAACUUGUCAAAAUAAAGAUGAAGCAGUGUUUGAAGAUCUGCCAUAUUUGAAAUUAUAAUUAUGCUAUUAAAGGAAAGCCUGAGGAUAGCUGAGACUUAGACAGGGACUACUUAUGCUUCCUUUAGUCGUGAAUAAUAAAAAUGGAGAUGCUAAUAAGUAGCUGAUGCUUGUACUACUACUUUUAUAAUAUUAGUUUUGGGUUUUCUAUCAUGUCAGAGGACAUAACAGACAUAGCUAAUUUACAGAGUCUUGUAGCUUUGACUUUCUAACUUAAUUGACAUUUUUAACACAAGGUUAAAAAUGUCUGAAAAAAGGCUGAAAAAAGCAUUUGAAAUGGCUCUCUACUAUUUUUAAUGUGUCUAGCACUUUAAAAAAAAAUCCAUAUAAUCCUCUUGAAACAGAUGGCUACAUAUAGUGAGUUAAAAUCCCAUGCUAGGAUUUGGGUUUUUACCUGGUACUGAAAGCAAUGUCAUGACAUAGGGAUGAAUCACUGAAUUUGGAGGUGAAAACUGAUUUCAGUGCUGUUAAAAAACAAACAAAAGCCUGUGGGGAACCGUGUAGUCCCUUUGGAUGGAGAGCUGGCUGUUAGAUUUCUUUUAGUUUGUGUUGUCUUUUCCAGACUAUAUUGGAAUGUCAACGUUGGUGUCAACUAACCUUCACAACCUUUCCUUCUGUAAGAAAGGAAAAAGAGGAAGCUAAAAUCUUUAACUACGAAUCAUGUAAAUUCUUGGGAUGCCUAACUAAAGACAGGAUUUCAACUGAAAUUUUUUGUUGUAACUCUGUAUCAUGUUAAGCCAGGAACACUUUGGGAGAGGGGAGUGAGGUGUGGAGAGGAGGAUGUUGCUAUUAGUUUUAUCUAGAACUAAAGCAUGGAUGUAUUUUCUUUUUUUGAAAGGUCAGCUGCUUUUUUAUAUCUAUAGAACUACAGUAGUGUUUCUAGAGAUGAAGACAAAAGAUUGGUGUUCUUGUCCAGAUAACUGGAAAUAAUUUAAUAUAGCUGGUGAUUAAUGAAAGGAGCACAUACUAUUUCGGUGUGCUCGUUUCCUGCACUCUUUUCAUUGUAAAAGGAGACAAAUGAAUGGAAGGGCAAAAUGUUGACACACAUUUAAGUUUUUGCAGUUAAGUCACUUAGUAGUUAAAAUUUUUAUCCUGGUGCAUUCCAGCAAUCAACCAGAGGUUAAUUUGAGCCAGUGGACAGAGAAGCUGCAGCCUUUCCUUGAAUUAAGAUCUGAAUUGCACUAAAAUGUAUUUAAACUUAAUAAACAUAUCCCCUGUUCUGACUGUUCUACUGUCUAUUUAUCGAGUGCACACAAGACAAUAUAUUGUGUUCAGCAGGGGCAGGGAGAGUGCAGCCGCAGUUAUGGCCUCAGCUGGGCACUUGUUCUCUGCCUCAGUUUGCCACGAGUGCGCAAGCAUUUGCACCUGCCUUCUCAAUCAGUUCUGCUACCAACGCAGCAUUCAAUGGGCUGCAAGGAUGUGAAUAUUAACAGAUAGAGAAAUAUUAAGCAGUUUGACAGCAGGUAAUAAAGGAUCUGAACUGUAGGGAAGUGAAACCUGGUUUUCAGACAUAUAAUUUUAAUGUGAUGUAUUGAGAUACAUUCAGACCUUCCUUAUGCUCCCCUAGUUUUCAGUGUAGGUCAUUCCUAGCAAGCUGAAGGAUAAAAUGUAUGGUAGAACAUAGAAGAUUUUUCAAGACAUGUCAGAGAGAUUCUUUACUGGAAGCUGAAUAAGUCCUUCAAGCUGGUAGUUCACUGUAUCUGUUUUUUCUAAGGCUCUUACUGCAAAGCCUGCUUUAGUGUUCUUAGUUUAUUACUCUAAUACAGGCAAAUAGUGCUUGGAAAAGAGCAACUUCGGCAUCUUGGCAAGACUAUACACAUGUGAAAAUGUCUUAGUUUUCUGGGAGUGGUUCUGCUUCCUGGUAAAUUUUAGGAUAAGUGUGGGUGAUUCUUAAGAAGGCAUGUAGGAGGUGAGAGCUCAUCUUGUAGAUGAAGUCACUCAAUAACUGAGUGUCUCUGGACUUCAGUGACAGGUUGCUGUUAGGCUUGUGGGCACACGCCAGAUUUAUUCUUUAAAAUACUGGGAUGGGGCACAGUCAGAUUUUUUCCCCCUACUGUACUCACUUUACUGAGAGAGCUUUUCAUCUUGAUAUGCCCCUAUUGUCAAUUUCUUAAUGGUGCUUUAGCUAGACUUUCUUCAAACUGCAGAGCAAGCAAAGAGUGUGUGAAGAGGGAUGUUGGGACAGGGAGUAGGUGGUUUGAAUGUGUUACAUCCAUUAGGAAUGUCCUGAACAAGAAGUACUGCUGCUGGGUCUGCCAGAUGAGUAGUUCAGAAACUAGGUUAUUGUGAAAUAACUUGCUACAGUUGCAGUCGCAGAUUAUUUAUGUGCUUUGGCCUGAGAAAAAUACAGUGGUUUUGUGCUAAAGCAUGUUUUGUGCCAUGAUAAAUGCACCGCUGCUGCUUUGAUCUACAUUUGUACUACAUGGAGGGGUAUGGUAGUCUUAGGAGGACAGAUUUGGAGGAGGCACUCCAGUGACUUUGUUUAAUUAGAUCAUAGCCAAGUCCUUCCCUCAGCUGUAUGAAAUGCAAAGGUAGCUCUUAAUGAUGUACACUUUAAUAGCCUGAAUGCAUACAUGGAAGCAAAGGUGAUAUUCCGCAGGACUACAGCAGACCUAAACAUGACCUGUAAAGGAGGCUGUGACACUUGAAGCAGUCAAUGAGUCUUUAGGCUCUUUCUGUACUUAUUGUAGUUUUCACGGUGGCCUAGUGAGACCUGGUCCCCCAAGCCUUGCAGUCAGUGUUAGUAAGCUCUUUUUGCUUAAUGAAGCUGUGUCCCCAGACUCCCAGGGGCAUGCGAACUUAUGCAUGAUGUAGUGCCCUCUGUGCACUAGUUUGUCAGCCUGGAGUGGGUGAUGUUCCCAUGAUUUAUGAAGCUUGUUCAUCUGUCCUGGAAAAAAUAAUUUUACAUAUUCCAUCUAGUCCUGGUGAAGUAUGUACAUUUGCAAUAACAGAAGCACCUGUAAAAUAGAGAUUAGAUUUAUAAGGGUCUUUCCUCACUGCUUCAGCCUUGAAGCUGGCUGAUACACUGGCCACAGAGCCCUUUGGGAGCUGGUGUAGCACAGAGUGUGUAUUAGCAUCAGCACCUGCCCCUUUUUUUGUUAGACCGCUGCUUCUGUCCCCUGGGCAUGCAGAAGGAUGUGUAAAGAGUGAGGGCAGGAGACAACACUAAGAAAUUUGACCCUCUCUUUUCCCCUUCUGAAGCCUGAGCUCUACUUUCUACCUGGUUUUGCUUUAUAAAAGUCUUCCUCACCAUGUGGCAACUGUGAGCCUACAGCUCCACAUACUAAUGCAGAGGAGCUGGAUUAUUUCCUCUCCCUUCUGUAACUUUCUUAAUUAACAUUUUCAUUGCUUAAUCUACAUAGCUCAGCCUGUCUGCAUGCCUUCUCUUGUUACAGUCUCUGAAGUAAGUGAUUUAAGAAUUGGUAAUUAUAUACCUUGAAAAACUAAUUUGUAUAAUCAUCUUGCUAGAUUCAAAACACCUGCUUGCUCUCUAGUUUCUUUUUCUCUGUGGAAAGACUGAUAUUAUUGAUGGUAAAAUUAGGAAUUAACUCAGUGUUAACUCCUGUGACUUUGAGGACUGUAAGGGAUUGCUGAAACUUCUUUACAGUAAAUCUUCUCUACCUCAUGGUUAAAACAGGAGGACCAUUUUUGAGUAGAAGAAUUAAAUAUUUCUUUUUUGUUCAAGUGUUUAAGUUUUCUGACUUAACCCAGUGUUGCUUUGCUCUGAUCCCUCUGGAUUUCCUCUUCAAUCCUCAAUCAGUAUAGCAUGAAGGGCUUCUGAAAAUCAUACAUGAUUCCCUGCGUUUCAACACUCAAGUACAGCAAUAAUGUAACAAAGUCAUGUCAGCAAAAGUGUUAAAAUCAGCUCUAGAAUGCAGUCUUGAAUUAAAGCACUUUGGGAUGGUUGCUGCUAUUUGGUACAUCUGUGUCCUCAUACCCAGAAGAGUACUAAUGAUGUCUGUGGCACUCAGUAAAAGAAAAUGCAGUUGUGAACACCUCUUCUACACAAACAAAGCUGUAAAAACAAGUACAGUGUUGCAUAUGGUUUUAUGAAGAAAAAGAUAAAUGCAAACAAACAAACAAAAAAAAAACCCAAACACAGAUGAGAGAGCUGCCAACUGUUAUGUAAAUACAGAAAAAUCCUUAGAAAUCUGCACCAAGAUGUCUACAUAUUUAAUACACCAUUAAGCGCUUAGCCUUGGGAGGGAGACCCACAUAAGGCUUUUUCUCCAUCUUCAGAGCUAGUAGUUCAGUAACUAUUUCUCAGCUGGUCCAUUUAAGCCUGAGUGCAUGUAGUGAAAAGAACCCUUUCUUGGUUUGUGUGUGGUUCAUUGAACAACAUUGCUUAAAAACAGGAGUGUUUAGUGUUAUUCGUCAUGUCACCCUUUGCUUUUACCCCAGCUGACCUUUCAGCUCUGCAGAAGGAAACACAUGCAGUAAUUAAUCAGCCCAUGCUUAUUAUUUCAGGUCACUUGUGUGGUUUGGACAAAAGGAAGACGAGGAAUACAAAUGCAAAAUAUUUUCCACUAUUUGCUUUUAAUGGCAGAGUGGAGCACAACGACAUGGGCUAUCUGGGUUGUUACAGUGCAUUUAGGUGGUGUGCUGCCUUUGGUGGUGGAGAAUUAAUUGUAUGUAGUUGGCUGCAUGGCUACCUCUUAAGCAGGAAGAACUGCCUUAAGCUGCUCUGGUGUAGGGGAAGGGGCUGUCAUAUCUUCACUGGAAGGAUUAAGGGCUUCAUGAGGCAGAGAAAGAGUAUCUUGGCACUUCUUUGUAUUCAGAAUGUUUUGUGGUAGGAAUUGUUAAUAGCUAGUGGUCUGUGGGACAUAGCAAGCUUCAGACGCAUUGGGCACACAGAGUAUCUGUUAAAAACAAUACAGGAUACCUCUGAAAGUAGUUUUAUGAAUAAAUACAAAAAGCAUACACUUAACAGUGUAUUUAUUAUUUGUCCAAUAUUUUAUAUGCUUAGGAAACUAAGCUCUCAUAAGACUUGUUUUGAGAGCUUUUCUCGGGGGGGAAGCAGUGACUUGUCUUAUAGCAGCAAUUAGCCACCGGUGAAUCUGGGACAUAUUUAAGACUUUCUGGGUUAUAGUAUUGGAAUUGGAGUGGCAUUUUCUUUCCAGUCAGCUGGUAUGGUUCCUUCUGAUUUGUACUUAUCUCAGAGGAAUCUAGUUGUUUUCUGUUCUGUCUGUCCCUGUAACUUGCCUUACUUUCCCAUUUUGUCAUACAAACCUAGAGUAAACCUUGUUCUGUAGCAAUUGGGCAUUGAUUUGUCGGUUCAGAUCUCUGAUGAAGAGCCUGAAUGAGCUUAAAUUUGUGCAUUAUGGUCUCUUGUCUUAAGGGUUGCAAAUUUCAUAGGAGAAGGUGCUUAUAGGGUGGGAGCUUUGAAUACUGCUGCUGUGCAAAGAAGUGUUUAACAUAUGCAGAUAUGUCAUUUAUCUUCCUACUGAAGUUGUACAGCCUGACUCACAGUAGCACCAUGUGAUGCAUGAGCCACUUGGAGUACAGUGUCCUUCUCCUAGGUUGCUUACAGUCUCUCCUUAAUCAUUGUAAUAUCUAAUCCCAGAUUAGAUGUUGAGGAAGAACAGUUUCCAAAGCCAGUCAGUUCCUUAGCUCCUGACCAGAUGACUCACUAGCAUGUCUUUAAGAGAUUUCCUUGGAAUGUCUGUAGAAGAUUAUUCUAGCAGAGAUCUGAGACCAUCACAGAUAAAUUCAUGUAAUCUAAAUAUUACAUUAAUUAUUCCAAGAGGAAGAUAAUUUACAGCCCUAUUAAAAAAAAAUGCAAUACUAUGAGAAUGAUCUUUCCAAAUAAUCAUAUUCACUGCUACAUGUAACUCAACAUGUUGUCUGAAUUUCUUCCAAAUAGGAAAUUGACAAGUGCUCUGUCCUCUUCAAUAGAACUUGUAUUAUUUUAAAGUAUGAUAAUUGUUUUGGUUUUAAAACCACAGGGUUUAAAAGUACCACAGUACUUCAUUCCAGUAUACACAGAGCACAGCUAUGAGGGAAAGAAUGAAGUGAUAUACAUUCUGCAAGUGAAAACAAAUUACACGUUUAGCACAAUCUAAUUGCAUAGGUCUAGUCUUUUACCAAAAUAAAAAUAAUCUUUUCUUGGCUUACUGGAAAAUAAUAAAAGCUGAACUCCUUAAUGUGUAUUAUUUUUUUCACAUUAUUUACCAUCAGAAUUCAGAAAAAAGAUUUUGAACUCGGGAUCAACUCUCAUUGAUUUGAGAGACUGUUGUUAUCAUCAAAAUAAAGUCAAAUGUAGACAAAAUCUCUAUAUAGGGUGCAAAUUAAUCUAUUUUCCUGCUACUAUAUCAAAUUAACCUAUAUAUAUGUAUAUACAUACUUAUAAUUGCUUAUAAUUAAUACAUAUUUAUAAUUCCCAGUCUAUAUGUAGCAAUAGGAGGAGGUUUAACUUGUAUGGCUAAAUUUAGAGUGAUCCUAAUUUGCAGAAGGGUAGGAGGAGAUGACAGCUAGGACUGCCUACUGCUUAUUAUGCAGGUAUGAGUAUCAGUUCACUGUGACACUAAUUACUGUUCAUUUGUGUAGUUUGAAAAUGUGUGGGUUUGGCAUUAGUUUUUGUUAGUGAAUUUUGGAACUUUAAAAAUAGAGGGUAGUUCUCUUUCUCUCUGGCUUUGCAUAGUAGCACUGAUUCAAGUGGCCUUGAAUCAGGUGCUGUUGUUCAAGGUGGUGUAGAAAGCCAAGGAAAGAUCUGUCCAAAAAUCUGACAGAUUUUUAAAGCUGUGAGAAUGUUCAAAAAUUGGGAAGGAAUAGUGAUUCUCUUGAUAAAUAGUUUAAAGAAAAAAAAAACAGUCUGUUGAAAAGCUGUUGUGGUGGUUAGGAUGCUUUGUAUGCUCUACAGGCAGCCUAAUUCCCAUCCAAAAUAGUCUGCAUUGUGUAAGACCACUUAAAAGAAUAAUAAUUUGUCUUAUUAUGAAGGCUGCAAUUGGUUCCAAAUCACUCUGUUCCUAAGACCUCUCUGAAGAUCGCAUGUCUGUUUUUAACAUUAAAAAAUCAUAUUCAGCUUUAUAGUGUUGUUAGUUGGAAGAUCUUGUAUAUUUAUUGCUUCAUUGUUUUUUUCAGAAUCUAUUUUUCUGCUUUCUGGGCCUUAGAAUAAAAGGCUCUUGAUCCCCUUCAAACAUACUCCCAAACAAAGCUAUUUAAAAGGUACGAUAACAUUUUUCCCACUUAUCUGUGAUUUGUGCUGCAAAACAGACUAUGGACAGCAGAGUAAACACUCAGGUUUGAGAGAAUCCACCCCCAAGCUUGUUGUCAGGCCAUGCAUAGCAUGGGACUUGUCAGCUGAAGAGCCACAGAAGGUAUUUCAGGCCCUUACUAGGUGAAAAGAGAAAAAGGAGACUGACAGGUCACAGAUCACAGAAUAUUCUGAGUUGGAAAGGAUGCACAAGGAUCAUCACAUCCAACUUUAAGUGAGUGGCCCAUACAGGGAUUAACACUCACAACCUUGGUGUUUUUAGCACCAUGUUCUCCCCAACUGAGCUAGUCUCAGGGUGUGAAAGAGGAGGGAUUGUACUCUCUAUAAAGGAAUGGUUUGAAUGACUGGAGCUUGGCCUGGGGCAGGUGCCAAAUCAGCAGAAAUGGUGGUGCUGCUGCCUUUAGGUAGCUGGAGAGAGCCUCAGGUUGUAGUACUCAUGGGUGCCUCUUAUACACUCUUCUGGAAGGGAAAUGCAGCUGGGUGCUAGAAGCCAGGAGAUGUGUUUAACACAUUCCAAACCAGUUCUUGAUGCAGGUGAUCAGUGAACUGACUAAGACUCAUGCUCUGCUGGACCUGCUGCUCACAGACAAGAACUGGUAGGUGAUGAAAAGGUUGAGGGCACCUUUAAAGUGCUGUCGGCAAACCUUAGUUUUGCAGAGUGUUGCAUCUAGUUGCAUCAGCUUUUGGCAUUGAUCUUCCAUUAAAUGCGGAGAAAUGCUUGUUGGAAGUAAAAAGUGCUGACAAGUUUUUUGUUUUUGUUUUAAUUGCAAAGCUGGCACAACAAUAGGUAAGCAUUAAUGAAAAUAGUUAGUUGGCACUCCAGUUGUUGGAAGUAAUGUUUUAAGGUGUUGUGAACAGAUUCAGAGUGCAUCUUCUUAUUGUGUCCUCUAUUGUAUAGUUGUGAUAUGAGUCCUAAUUGUUCAGAGCCUGGUCAGCGAUGUUCUGCCUGGCUGUGCUGAUCAAGGGGCUAUGAACCAAGGUGAUCUCUUACACAGCAACAUCAUGCUUCAAAGUGAUUGACUUUGAAAUAUUCAUUGUGUUGAAGAUAAACCAGUAAGGUAGACAUGAAUUAUAUUAUUUUAGUCACAUUCCAUAGAGCUUUAAUAAUCUUGUAGCCUGGAACCUUACUGGUGGUGAGCUGCUCAAAACCCACAAAAAUACUUUUAUGAAAGAUUGAAGCAGGUUUGAUGAGGUCUGUCUCCCUGUGGAAUGGCAAUCCAUGUGGGCAAGACUUAACAACCUUUUAGAUAAGUCCAUUUGCAUCCUAAAAAUAACUUCCACAGUGUAAUACAGAGAGCCCAGGAAGCACUUAGUACCAGCCUGAUUCCAGAAGUAAUUGAUCUAUGUGGUCCCAAGUUUUGUGCAACAAAACCCAGUGUGUGUCUCCCAUAUAAGCCAAAGUUUUAUAGUUAUAAUUUAGUCGAGUCAGGAAGGGGAGUGUGGGGAUCCUGCAAGCAAUUUAUGGGAACCAUUACAUUGUUGGUAUGGAGCCAGUUCUGUCUGGUGGUUGCACACAAGAAGACUUAAUGCUCUGGCAACCAGCCUCCCAGCCACUGUGUCUGUGGGCAAAGGGAAGGGCUGGAGGACAGUGCCUGAGUGACCUGCCUGAAGAUGAAACAGUAUCAAGUACUUUUCCAUCCCCAUUUCACCUGUUCAAAAGAAAGAAGGGAGGUGUGUUCAGCCUGCCUAAAAUUACUGGACUUGCUAUCUCAGGCAUCCAGCGCAGGCUGCCUGGGCUUUCAGAUAUAUAACUCUAAUACCUGAACAAUGAAUUUCUGCAUAGAGUAAAAUACUGUGAUUGCAGCAUCCAUUUUCUCCUUUUUCAGUAUUUAUGUAAUGCACAAAUCUUUGUGAGGCUUCAUUUUUUGUGCUGAAGUGGGAUAUUUGAUGUGCAUUGUAGAGCAAUAAGUUGACUUUGAAGUGUUGAACUGAGUCACUUGCAAUAAACACCCCAAUGAGACAGCCCAUUUUUUCUUUUGAUUGACCAAACAAAAGAAUCAGAACCAAGAACAUGGUCUAAAACAAAAUAACUCUAGAGGUACACUUGGUACACUAUAGUUUAGUCUAGCACUUCUUGUAAAACUCUUUAAAGGCAGGGACACAAAAUAUGUAAAAUAUAUAAAACACAUUAAUAAUGUUGAAACAUUAUAUAAAUUAUUGUUAACAAGGCCUUGUUGUUUCUGGGUAAAAAUUUAAAGACUUCAUGAAAUUAUAUUUUUAAAGUUACUAUUAGAGCAAUUGGAAUCCUUAAUCUUUUUUAGCAAGUCUGUGAAGGCUAGGCUGCUGUCAUGAAGUAUGUGGCUUAGAGGUCUAAAUUCUUUGUUUUCUCAAUCCACAAUAAAGAGGAGGCCACUUUAUUGUGUUAAAGAGCUGUAAUCCCAUGAAUCGUUUCAGUGAUGUUGUAAAAUCAGUAUGUUUUGCAUAAUAAAAUAACCUCAAGUGAGAAUUUUAUCGUUCUCAUGCUUAAUUUGAAUUUUACAAGGCAGAUGGCAAAUAAUAAAGGUUGCAUAACAUUUCCCAUUGUUUCAGUCUCUCUACAAUUUUGCUAAAAUUAAAUGGUUUGGCCUUUAUUUCUCUUUUGCCAGUUUCUCUCCCUACUUUUUGUCUUCAGCAAAUGGAUCAAUUUCUUAAGAAUGAGAUAUAGGAAACAAAUAGAGAAAUUCUGCUAUGUGAAAAAAACAAAAUCUUAGUAUCAGUCUCAAGGGAUGGCUUAAGGCCACAAUGCUUUAAUGAAAAGAUUUGAAACUGGGAACAAUAUGAAUUUGGUUUUAGAGCUAUGACUCCUCUUGACCUUAUGAGAAUCUAUUCAAAUUAGCAACAUAAAAAGUCACAGCCCAUGCCUGUCAGAGAUGCAUUCAGCAUUUGUGCGUUAUAUUUUUGUCCAGGGUUUUUGACUGAACUGAGGCUGCAGCCUUUCCUCUCAAAUGCUUUGGGCUAAUCAGUGUUCCAAUUAUUCACGAUCCCCAUGGAAUGAGUUGAGCAUGGUCCUCCCUGGAGCUCUGGGGUCUGAGGGGAAGCAGCCAGGGGGAAAAAGGCCCAGUCUCUGCAGGCAGCUUUGGCACCAGGUGCACCAGCUAGAAGUGUAGAGGCUUGUUUUUCUCCCAUGCUGCCCAGAUGCCUGCUGCUUAGGUUUGCAGGAAAGGUGAUGUGACACCUCUAGGGGAGUAGUGGGCAUGAGGAGGUGUUUGGAUUAGAGCAAUCUGAGCAAUUCUCUCUGCCCGUAAAAAAGGAGAAUGGCAAGAGAAGAGAAUUGCGGUGUAGCAGCUUCAGAAACAAGAGAACGAGGUUGAGAAGGCAUGGAGGGGGGAUGUAAGGUGAGGAAAGGGGCCAAAGAUGUUCAAUAGGAUAAGAGGAACAGGAGGGCAUCUAGUCGAAAGGAAUCUUGCUGGUAUGUAAAGUUACCUAUUUUUAAUGCUUAAAUGUUCUUAAAUUUUGGUGACUGAUAUAUGUCAGUGCAUUAUGCAAGCUUUUGGUUAACUGUUAAGGUUUCAAGUUCAAGAACUGAAAAGUUAGGAAACUUCAGUGUGGAAGUUGACCCUGCAACUUGUGUAAUACAACUUAUACAUGACAUACUAUCAAAUAAUUAAGUAUGUGAUUGUGUUAUUGGAAAUUAAUAGCCCUCCCAUUAUUAAGGCUAAAUAACAGUGAAGGAAGUCAGGCUUUGAUCUCAGUAGCCCUGUGUACCUGAGGUUGUGAUGAUACAGCUUAAUGGAAACUUCAAGUAUCUUCUGAGAGUUUGUAGUUGAGUUACUAGAAACUGUCCAAAAGCAAAGUUUUGUAUUCUUUGUAUUAAGAAUGAGAGGUCUUUGUAGCAAAAUACUGAACACUGGAGGGUUUUAGUUUGAAAUAAUAUCUGGGUUUGGUUUCUAUUCUUAAAACUCGGUGCUAAAUAGAUUUCUUUUGAUUACAGUGUGUUGCUGUGCUUAAUCAGAUGUUUUGCAUUGCAUAUUUUGUCAUGUCAUCAUUAUAAACCAAUUAAAAUUUACAGCAGAAAAGCAAGGCAACAACUUUCACACUUACUCUGUUUUGUCUCUUAAACAUAAUCCAAACAGCAGCAUGGUGGAUUUUCUCCAAGUAACUAAGGCAUAAAAUACAAUGACAGUAGUACUUUUUUUAAACACCCUAUUUGAUUUGUUGGAUAUACAGACUACCUAUAUAUAUAUAUAUUGAACUAAAAGCAGUGGAAUGGGGUAAGGAAAUAUUUUUCUUUCUUCUGUUAAAAAAAACAGACUGAGAAAUGUUGGGUUUGAUUUAUUUUCAGUAGCAACCACCCAUGUGGUUUUUCUUCAGAAGACCUCAUUUUCAGUGUUUGUUAUAACCUGAACAUGGCUGAAUCCUUUCAGACUAGUUUUGAAAUUGUGGAACAUGCUUUAAAUAAAAGCGAAUCAAUUGGAGAUAAAAGGUUUCUCUGAAGAUUGUAGAGGGGCAAAAAAUGAAAUUUAUGUCCCCAAAGGCCUAAGAACUGCAAAUUAUGGCAGUUCAGCAAUGCAGUCACCAAGACAGCUAACAAGCAAUUACUUGAAAAGCAAUGACACCAAUGCUUAAGGAACUAAAGGAGAACCUUGACAGACUUGCAAAGUUUUAUGCUUUUGUGAGAUAUGAAGAGCUGUUGUAGUACUGGACUUAGGACAAAUGUUUGUGCUGCCAAUAGAGUGGUCUGUGUCUAAGAGAAAUCGGCUACCCAAGGAGAUCCUAUAGAGAAACAAGUUUUGAUUUUUUAAAAGACUUCUGCAGGCUGUGGGUUUGUGUGGGGUGGCAGUUUAUAAAGACAAGAUGUACUUUUUAGUGGUGUGACACUCGGCCUCAUAUCCAAGAGAGAACCUGGGUAAAAAAUAUACUUUGGUUUUGGUGGUGAAUUAUUCUUAAAACACAGAGGCCAAAGAGCUCUAGUUACCAUUUGAUGUAUUCAUAAUAAAGACUUUUUAAAAGUUACUGUUGGUGUUAUUUAAAGAUUGCAUGUAAUACCUUCUGAUUGAAAUAUAUACCUUUGCCUUUCUAAACACAUAUUCAUUUAUUAUAAUUCUUCCAAAUCCAUGGAGCUCAGGCAUUAGGAUUGUUUGUGCAGACUCAGUUCUGUGCAUGGAGUGUUGUAAUUAGCAAUUAGAAUCUGCUGUCUUUCUGCCAAGCAGUACGUAGCUGCUCAGGAAGCCCUAUUUCCCGACAGCUGGACAGCUGUAAAGAACGGCUCCCUGAAUUGAAAAUAAAUUUUCCAGUUUCCUAUGAUGUUUACUUUGAAACACAAGUUUUCCAGAAAGUGGUGUCUUGAGAAUCUUGUUGAGCUCUUUGCUGCUAUUAGCUAUAUUUGUCUGCUGCCUUCUUAAAUAUGAUAGUGUAGGCCUGGCACAGCUGCUUUUGUUUUUGACAGUGAUUGAAGUGAUUAAGGAUAAGUCAUGGAACAGAAAUAUAUAUUCUUAAGUCAGUGUUUCAGCUCUGUUCCCUACUCAGCACUGCUAGGAAACAUUCCUUUUGGCUUCACUGUUUCUGUGUACGUGCAUUUUGCGCCACACUAAAUACUCAUUUUACUUGGCUUGCAGUCAUAGCAUAGAUCUUUUAUAUAAAAGGAACGGGAGAAGAAGCAGCAAAUGGAAUGUUGCACUUGCUCUAAGUAGUUACAGCAUCCCUUCCAGCAAGGCAGAGGCAAGCUACCAGAAAACUGCCUGUUUUCCUCAGGCAAGAGUACUCUGAAUUAGAGUAAUGGUUUGAACGUGUGCACCCAGGAGCUCAACUGCUAAAUAACAGCACGGAGCCUUUGUAGUUCUAACUGUUACGGAAAUAAGUGUCUGUACAGAGUAGGCUGUAUAAACAAAGCCUCGCUUCUGUGAAUCUUCCUGCUGUCUUAAGUUGAGAAGUGGUUGUUGCUGUAGCAAUUUGCAGGCAUUAUUCAUGUUUUAUUUUCCUGAGGCUGGAAGGAGGACUGAACAUCUACGUAAAAUUUGAGUUGCAGGGCGCUUUGCCCAAGAAAAAAAAGCUGCAGCAGUGAAAUGAUUACCUAUGUUACUUGUAUUGAUCCCACUAACUUGUAAGUAGUCUAGAAUUUAUCUGUCUGAAAGAGAAAUCCCAGUAAAAGUGCCAGGCAUAAAUCUAAGUGGCCUAAAGUGUUGUUGUGUGAAGAUAAUUACGUACCAGGACCAUUGUAGCUGUCCCAGUGUAAUGCUUAACUUGGCUUUUCAGCUGAGUCAAGCUCCUGUGGCAGACUGGUGUUGACACAGCUCUCCCGCAUUCAGUUCAGGGUGCCAAGUCAGGAGAUGAAACCCAUGUGGCAAUGAACGUUUUCUUAGUUGAAAAGGUUGUGCUACUUCAUUAUUUUAUUUAGAAGCUGAAUCUUUCAGAAAACUCUGCAGCUUCUAUAGCCAGUUAUAGCAAAUUUUACCCCAUGUUUCUUUGCGUGGAGUACUAAGUGCCUUAGACUGUUAGCAUUAAAUAAUACUUAUUUUCCCUUGCCAUCCUCUCUUUUUGUGUUUUGAGCAUCUUUAUUUUUACUCAUUCUCUGGUGAAAGGUUUGAUAAGAUCUAACCAAAGGCAGUUGUCAGGGCUUGUGCAGAGCAGUUUCUUGGGAGUUGUCCUGUGAAACUAAACCACAAUGGGCAUGAAACACUUUGUCUAAAACUACUUGUCUGUUUGUGCAAAUGGACUUCUAUUAUGGCUGACUGUAAGAGGAAAAUAGCCACUAAAUCAAUAGGCUGGGUUGAAAUUGACCUGUUUCUCUUAUUGUGAUGAGUGCCCAUUUAUUCUCUCCCAAAUGAGGUAAUAGAACAAAGUUACUCUAGCAACCCCUAGGAAGAAGAUUCUUCCUAGACGCAAAAGGAUGAAACUGAAGAUGCUUGAAAGCAAUUAUGGGAUGAAGGCCAGGACUUCACUUAGUUCAGCAGAUAGAGUGAUUCUGAGUUUAAAAUAAUUGAAAGCAGAGGAGGGGAAAUCUUGGAUAAUGGAUUUCUCUUGAGCUUUAUUGUAGAUGUCUUUUAAUGGGUAUGAGUAGUGAGGGAAUUGUCAUUUGUGUGGCAGGCUAGUAACCUUGAAUCCAGUGAGAGCAGCUGUACUGUUGGCUGAAGCUCUGUAGAAAGAAAGUGUUUGGAGAUACCCAGAAGGUCAGGGAGAUGUUAAAUGUAUUCUAAAAGUAGUGCAGUGGGAGAGUUGUGUUGUAGUCUCACAUAUUUAGUUGUGUAAGGUGGUAGUGCAGAGUAACCAAAGAAGGCUUGGAAGGAGAAUAGUUCUAUUUUUAAACUUUCUUAUGCUUAAAAACUUCAUAUCACUUCAUUUGUUAAGUGUCUUAUGCCUCUUGCAGCUGCUCUUGUGUGUGUGUGUGUAAAAUGCUAAAGUGCCCUAGUUUUGGAGUGUGCCUGCAGCUGCACAUGCAGAAGAGAGAAAUUAUUAAAGCAAAAAUCUGAAUUUUUUCCCUGUGGAAAAAAGCAGUUCUAAAACCUCAUUGGUUUCCUUGGUCUAAACCUCACCUGGCAAGGGCAAGGCGCAGCAUUAGGAUGUCGGUGAAGAUAACACAUUUGUUCUUACACAGGGCACACUGAGACUGCACCUGAAAAUGCUGUGCAUGAGUGGGGAUGUCCCCACAGGGCAACAGAAAUGGUUGCUGUAGAUAGGAAUUAAUUACUGUGACGCAGAAAAAGAGUAGUGCCUUGCUUUUGAAUGGUCAGUAUGCUCCCAUGAAUGAAGGAAUUCUUCACCUUGAGGAUGUAAAGCACUGGAACAGGUGGCCCAGGAAGUUGUGGAUGCCCCAUUCUUGGAAAUGUCCAAGGCCAGGUUGGAUGGGGCUUUGACCAACCUGAUCUCUAGUGGAUGGUGUUUCUGUUCAUAGUAGAUGGGUUGGAACUAGAUGAUCUUUAAGGUCCCUUCCAAUGCAAACCAUUCUAUGAUUCAUCCUGUGAUUCUGUGGUGGCAGAAGAGCCACUAUUAUGGACCCACUCUAUGAAGUCACUGGGAUGGUAACUAUGAACUUCAGCACACAUGGAGCUAAGUCAGAAGAGUUGAAAGCACAGAGGAAAACAUGGAUAUGCACUGAGUUCAGCAGGGAUGGGGUGACUUUAUAUGUCAUGGGGUGGCAAGAAGAAAGCCCUGUGUUGUCUGAAAAGCUCUGUGUUAGCAGGAGUAUCCUAAAUUAAUCAGUAGAUAUUGUUCAUUUUGCAGCAUACUCAUUUAAAUUAAAAAUAUGGUCAAAAGAAUGUUUCAUUUUAUUAUACUUCGGUGGAGAGAAGUGAUUAUGUCCUCUUGUCUUUGAGACCAAAAAGAUUGCAUUUUUUUUAAAAAUUACUAUAUCUCUGAUCAAAUUGCUCAGUAGAGCAAUGUAUAGCAAAGUAUCCAUUUUCCCCUUCUCUCCAUGCCCAUGCUCACUUUACUGCAGUUGCUAUCUCACUAACACUCACAGGCUGCCAUAUGCUUUGAUCUCUGUGCCCUCUUAGUGAGGAUAGCAAAUAAUGGGACACUCAAGUUGCUUUCUGCAGUUCAAGCAAUCUUACCUUGGAAUCAGUGCGAUAUAGAAAGCAGGCUGGUCUGUGCCUAGUUCUCCAUUUCUCAGCAGUAGGUGUAAGCUUCAUUGUGACUUGGAAUUAUUCACAGGAAUUACCUCAUAGUUUGGAGAAUGAUCUCUGGUUGAAGUCCAGAAGAGUUUUUCAUCUAGAAAUUGUACAGGUGCUUCAUUUCAUAAUCUCUGAGGUGACCUUCCAUGUACAGCUACUGCAGCAAUACACUGACACUGAUCCUGUGUAUGGGAAUCUCUCUGACUUCAUGGUAGCAAAUGCUGCCUGCACCAGUGAGAAAUCUGAGGAGGAGAAGCAUCUGGUACUCUUAUACCUUGGCUGAAGGUGUUUGCCCUUGUGUAACAGUCUCAGAAAUAAAUCACUGCAUCUUGCACAUUGCCUGCUUUUGGUGUUCGGAGAGCUCAUGCCCUAAGACAGGCUGCACAGCACAAAUUGCUGGCUGUCUGGAACUGAGGUUGUCCUGCAUGCCCUCAGGCAGUGGCAUUUCAGCUUUCAUUUUGGUGAUGUGUAAUUAAAAAGCUUCAAUUCACGUGUCUCAUCUGUGUUUGGGUGAGCUUGCUAGUGUUCUGGUCAACUGCAGAACUGGCUUCAUAGCACAGGCUUUUCAGCAGAAAAUCUUUUUUCCAGGGAUCCUUUCAUGUUAUAUCCUUGUUUUAUAUUGCAGUGAGAUAAUGAAAUAUCAUUAUACAGCGGGUAUGAGUGUCAGCUUUUUAAAAAAUGCUGUUACAGACACUGUGUUCCUUUUAUCAUCCUUAAGAGAUUAUAACUCUCCCUACAACGGCAUUUGGUUUGGCAUCUUCUACAUUAUUUAAUAUUUUAGGAUACAGUGCUUUUUAAAGCGGACAUGUCAGCCAAAAGUAAUCUUUUAUAAAUAUGCAUCUCCUAGUGGAGCAGUUAUACAAGUUUAAUC
This is a non-coding RNA of Taeniopygia guttata (zebra finch), 20642 nucleotides long. NCBI's taxonomy places the organism in Eukaryota, Metazoa, Chordata, Aves, Passeriformes, Estrildidae. The record is from RefSeq and is a predicted model, not a curated record.